Molecule: ribosomal RNA, 128 nt
Filed under: Peromyscus maniculatus bairdii (prairie deer mouse)
Lineage: Eukaryota; Metazoa; Chordata; Mammalia; Rodentia; Cricetidae
Source: RNAcentral
GUCUGUGGCCAUAGGCUUGUGAACACACCUGGUCCAGUCUGAUCUCGGAGCUAAGCAGGGUAGGGUGGGGCUGGAAAGGUGGCUGGGCCCGCUGAGAGCACUGGCUGCUCUUCCAAGUUCCAAGGACC